Molecule: long non-coding RNA, 1994 nt
Organism: Solenopsis invicta (red fire ant)
Lineage: Eukaryota; Metazoa; Arthropoda; Insecta; Hymenoptera; Formicidae
Exons: 3
Source: RefSeq, a predicted model, not a curated record
AUUGCUAUUAGCAUGAUAAAGUAUCCAAUGACCAUGAUUACUCGAGCAGUUUGUGCUUGUUUUAUCAUUACGGUUCUCUCUGUAUUCGAUUUGAAUGUCAUCCAAUCUUCCGCCAUUACAUUUAUAAUCGACAGAAGAACUAUAAUGCAAUACGUAAAUUAUUUACUACCAGUACCAAGUUGCCCCACACUUGUAUAACCAUAUGAAUGCGUUUAAAGUUUCCUGAAAGCUUCUUCAGCUUGGAUGUCUCUGGAAGACCCAGUUCUUCAGAAUAAGCCACUUCUCUAAAUGUUUUCGCCGUAUGUCUUCAUUCAGCUGCUAUAAGAUUUUCCAAUAGAACAUUCAUUAUUUGACCAGAAGGAUUGGUUUGACAUCAUAAACAGAAAUCAAAUACACACAGGUACUCUUAAACAUACUCACCGAAAAGAACUGUCAAACAAUAUUUGUGACAGAAGCACUGUGAUUAAUAUGUACAAUUCCAAGGAGAUUUCUUUGAAAAUAGAAAGGUACAUAAAAUGCAUAAAAUCGAAGCUUAGUAUUUUUAUUUAUGGACAAAUUAAUUUAAGAAAUAAUGAUCGACAAAGUUUUUUUUAUUUACGUAUUAUAUAAAGUUAUGCUAUAUUUAAUCAUCGUUUUCAUUGCAAUUUUGGUCGCAAUCGAAACAAAAAUUUAUAUGUUUUUAAGUUGUAAUAACUAUCAAAUGUUUAAAGCAAAGAUUAUUCACACCAAGCACAUUUAACAAAAGAAACAUUUUUAUAAAAGCGCUGCUUGUUCGUCAUUGACGAAGAGAAGCAGAUUUCAUUAACAUUUAGAAAUAUAUAUCCCUUAAUUCAAUUAAUCUUAUUGCAUUUCAAAUCAUUAUAUAUACAUAAAAUUUUUUGAAAUUUUCAUAAUUACGAUGAAAAAAGAUGAGGUUUAGUAGAUCUAGCGAUGUGUCGCCUAAUUAAAUAUCUCGUUAUACACUAUACAGAUUUCCACAUACGUAGAUUUUAAAUAAUCUCUAAAUGAAUUUCUAUAAAUUCUCAUGGAUUCUCACAGAAAUCUACCUAGAAACUUUUAAUAAAAAAAAAUAAAAAUAAUUCUCAAAAACAAAAAUAACCAAUAUUUUACUAUAUUUCUACACUUAAAAAAUAAAAUAAUUAUGCAGUGCUUCUUCAACCACCGUACUUGACGUUUCUUAUUAUAACCGUUUCUGCGACGUCUUAUUUAAAUAAGUUAAAUUCUGAGCGCUUUUUGGUGCAUUGAUUUUUCUUUUAUUGGUGCAUCAACUAUUAAAUUUUGACUAUGUCUGUUUUUGAGUGCAAGCAUUGUACACCAUUUUCGGGCCGAACAACUUACAAUUUAUGUCGCUUCUCUACGAGAAUACCCUCAACCUCACUACAGACGAAAAUUAUUUUUAUUUCUACGCAUUUUUAUCUCUAUUACAACCAAAUUAAGUAAAAAUAAAAUAUUAAUUUUCAAUCAUUCACAAAAAACAUAUCUUUAUAUAGAAUAUUUAUAAACAAAAACAUUUUAUAAACUAUGACAUUAGAUCUUAAUUAUAUGCUUAAUAUACAAGGUUCGAAGCAAAAAUAAAUAACAAAGAAACUAAACGUUAGUUUCCGUUCAAAUUAGUUUUAAAAUAAUUAUUAAUCACAAAAACUUUCUUAGAGUUUGUUCUUUUCUUAAACACGCAAUUAUCUUUAAACUGAUUUUUAAUUCUUUAUUCUUUGGAAAGUUCUAGGUAUUUGAGCGCAACUUUCGUUUCUUAAAAGUUAGCAGCAUUCUAAAAUAUCAUUCUCAAAUUUAACUCCCACACAUAAUAAACAAUAAUAAAACAAAAAUAACAAUUAUUACAACAAUGAUCAUAUGAAUGGGUUUUGUCUAGAGAGAAGUCUUUUCUAAAAAGAUAUAUAUUUACUUCAAAAGAAACUUGAUUUGACAUUUAUUAAUUUCUAUAGUUAGGAAGUUAAAUAAUAUUAUAUUAUAAUAAACAUUAUUUUAUUAUAAUAUGC